UUAACUCAAAUUUAUAUGCAGUUGGAACAGCGCCCCUAGCGGCAAACGUAGGCAAACGUUCCAACUCCAUACAAAUUUGAGUUA
RNAcentral lists this microRNA precursor (84 nucleotides) under Bombyx mori (domestic silkworm). Its description in RNAcentral is "mir-2807 microRNA precursor family". It matches the Rfam family "mir-2807 microRNA precursor family". The record is from Rfam by way of RNAcentral. Lineage: Eukaryota; Metazoa; Arthropoda; Insecta; Lepidoptera; Bombycidae.